This 346-nucleotide ribosomal RNA is filed under the name Pasteurella multocida. RNAcentral's name for it is "bacterial SSU rRNA". It matches the Rfam family "Bacterial small subunit ribosomal RNA", at positions 1 to 339 of the family's 1533-position model. The record is from RNAcentral. Lineage: Bacteria; Pseudomonadati; Pseudomonadota; Gammaproteobacteria; Pasteurellales; Pasteurellaceae.
UUGAAUUGAAGAGUUUGAUCAUGGCUCAGAUUGAACGCUGGCGGCAGGCUUAACACAUGCAAGUCGAACGGUAGCAGGAAGAAAGCUUGCUUUCUUUGCUGACGAGUGGCGGACGGGUGAGUAAUGCUUGGGAAUCUGGCUUAUGGAGGGGGAUAACUGUGGGAAACUGCAGCUAAUACCGCGUAUUCUCUGAGGAGGAAAAGGUGGGACCUUAGGGCCACCUGCCAUAAGAUGAGCCCAAGUGGGAUUAGGUAGUUGGUGGGGUAAAGGCCUACCAAGCCUGCGAUCUCUAGCUGGUCUGAGAGGAUGACCAGCCACACUGGAACUGAGACACGGUCCAGACUCC